UACGUAUGGGGCAAGCGUUGUUCGGAGUUAUUGGGCGUAAAGGGCGUGUAGGCGGCUCAUCAAGUCUGGUGUGAAAUCGCAGGGCUCAACCCUGCAUAUGCGCUGGAAACUGGUGGGCUUGAGUUCUGGAGGGGAAGCUGGAAUUCCAGGUGUAGGGGUGAAAUCUGUAGAUAUCUGGAAGAACACCGGUGGCGAAGGCGAGCUUCUAUCCGCGGACUGACGCUGAGGCGCGAAAGCGUGGGGAGCAAACAGG
Molecule: ribosomal RNA, 253 nt
Filed under: uncultured bacterium
Lineage: Bacteria
Description: partial 16S ribosomal RNA
Rfam family: Bacterial small subunit ribosomal RNA
Source: RNAcentral